CAAUCGGCGAGUGGGCCGCGGGGGUCGCCGCGGUUCCCGCCAAAUACGAGCGCGGCGGCCGCGGCAGCAGCGGCGCGGGCGGGAGGGCGAGCAGCAGCGGCCGCCUGAGCGGAGCCCGCGCCUCCGCCGCCUGAGGGAUCCUCGAGACGCCGCCGGGGCCAUGCUGGAGGAGCCGGAGUGCGGGGCGCCGGGCGCCCGGGAAGCGGCCGCAGCCAUGGAUUGCAAAGACAGACCAGCUUUUCCAGUCAAGAAGUUAAUACAAGCUCGUCUGCCGUUCAAGCGCCUGAAUCUCGUCCCAAAGGAGAAGGCCGACGACGGGUUGGACGACGCGGGGGGCACUCAGGGUGCUUCUGUGCAGGGUCACGUCCCCGCUUUAGAGACCUCUUUGGACCACUUGGAGGACAACUGUCACGUGGGCUCCGACAUAGAUUUUAGGCCAAAACUUGUCAACGGGAAGGGCCCCUUAGAUAACUUUUUAAGAAGUCGAGUCAAAACCAGUAUUGGCCAGACUGUGGUCAUCAUUGAUUUGACGGAGGACUCGAGUGACCCACUGUACAGCGCUGUGGGCCACGAUAAACUAAAUUCCGCAGCCCCUCCCCCCCAGAAGAACAUAAAUGGGGUCAUAGACGAAGCUGGGGAUGACAGGGGGCUGCCAACGGCCAGUCAGAAGGAUGAGCUGGCAUUUCCCGAAGAGGCCCUUUCAGACCUUCUGUGCAAAACAAAGGCAGGGGGUACCGACUCCGGGGGCGCAGAGAGGAGGGGACUCGUGCAGAAGGGCUCACCCCAAAGUUGCCCUAAGCCGACCAGCGGCCUGAGAAUGUGCUCCGAGAAGGACCGGGACGGCUGGAGCGGAGCUGGGGGCGUCCUCUUCAAAGGGAAGGUGCCUGUGGUCGUCCUGCAGGAUGUCCUGGCUGCCAGGCCCCGAGCCAGGUCUCCCCCCGCCACACCUCCAGGCCAGGCCACGCCCUCCGAGAGCGAGACGCCGGAGUCCAGCCCCGAAGAGGACUCUGUCCUGAGCCAGUCGUCCCUGAGCUCCUCCUCCCCUGCCAGCUCACCCGAGGGGCAGUCUGUGCCUGCGAAGCAGCACGGCAGCGCCAGUCCCCUCCUCGCCUCCACACCCGUCCACAGAAUAAGUAAGAAAUUGGUCAAAGGCUCUGCAGAGAAGAACAAGAUGAGACUGCAAAGAGACGAGGAGCGCCUGGGCAGGCAGCUGAAGCUCCGGGCCGAGAAGGAGGAGAAGGAGAAGUUGAGGGAGGAGGCCAAGCGCGCCAAGGAGGAGGCCAGGAGGAGGAGGGAGGAGGAGAAGGAGCUGAAGGAGAAGGAGCGGCGCGAGAAGCGGGAGAAGGACGAGAAGGAGAAGGCGGAGAAGCAGCGGCGCAAGGAGGAGCGGCGCAAGGAGCGCCAGGAGGCCCUGGAGGCUAAGCUGGAAGAGAAGCGGAAAAGGGAAGAGGAGAAACGGUUGAGAGAAGAAGAAAAGCGCAUUAAAGCUGAGAAGGCAGAAAUCACCAGGUUCUUUCAGAAACCAAAGACUCCACAGGCCCCCAAGACCCUGGCCGGUUCCUGUGGGAAGUUUGCCCCCUUUGAAAUUAAAGCGCACAUGGUCCUCGCCCCUUGCUGUCGGACCGCCUUCGACCAAGACCUCUGUGACCAGUUAGACCAGCUCCUCCAGCAGCAGAGCGAUGAAUUCUCCUUCCUGAACGAUCUGAAAGGCCGGCAGCCCCUCAGGUCUGGCCCCACUGUGGUUUCUAACAGGAACACAGACCUUUUUAACAGCGACAUGGUGAUCGUGGAAAGCAGCAAAGUGGACGGCGUCCCCAAGAGGAGAAGGUUUGGCAGGAUGAAGCUCCUGCAGUUUUCCGAGAACCACCGGCCAGCCUACUGGGGGACGUGGAACAAGAGGACGACGGUCAUCCGCCCGAGGGACCCCUGGGCCCAGGACAGGGACCUCCUGGACUAUGAGGUGGACAGCGACGAGGAGUGGGAAGAGGAGGAGCCGGGGGAGUCCCUCUCCCACAGCGAAGGGGAUGAGGAUGACGACGUGGGUGAGGAUGAGGACGAGGAUGACGGUUUCUUCGUGCCCCACGGGUACCUGUCUGAGGAUGAAGGAGUGACUGAGGAGUGUGCCGACCCGGAGAAUCACAAGGUGCGCCAGAAACUGAAGGCCAAGGAGUGGGAUGAGUUUCUGGCCAAGGGGAAGAGGUUCCGUGUCCUCCAGCCUGUGAAGAUAGGCUGCAUCUGGGCGUCCGACAAGGACGGCGGCACCGAUCUGAAGAUGCUGCAGCAGUUCACAGCGUGCCUGCUGGAGACCGUGCCCCCCGAGGAGGAGCAGACGCCCAAGGCCUCCAAGAGAGAGAAGAGGGACCAGCAGAUCCUGGCCCAGCUGCUCCCGCUGCUGCACGGGAACGUGAACGGGAGCAAGGUGAUCAUCCGGGAGUUCCAGGAGCACUGCCGCCGAGGGCUGCUCAGCAGGGACGCCGGCAGCCCCGAGCGCCGCGCCGCCAGCCCCCCGAGCCCCGGCCCUUCCCGCCCGCCGACGCCCCCCGCAGGCGAGGACGCCGCCGUCCCCUCCAAGGCCAGGCUCAAGCGCAUUAUUUCUGAGAACUCGGUGUACGAGAAGAGGCCCGAGUACAGGAUGUGCUGGUACGUCCACCCGCAGGUGCUGAAGAGCUUUGCCCAGGAGCACCUGCCCGUCCCCUGCCAGUGGAGUUACGUCACCGCGGUGCCCUCGGCCGCCAGGGAGGACAGUGGUGGCGUGCCCGCCCCGGGGCCCGGCCAGGGCACGCCCGUCUCGCUCAAGAGGAAGUCGGCGGGCAGCAUGUGCAUCACGCAGUUCAUGAAGAAGCGGCGGCACGACGCACAGGCACUUGACGUUAGAUUCCCGCAUUUCAGUGGUGCUUCAUUAUUUAUGGAGCUCCCAGGAAAGAGAAAAUGCUUCCGAAUAAACUGGGCGCCCCCUCCCCAGGCGGGAGAGGGUGAUUUGUGAGAGUCAGUGACACGGACCCUGCAUCCGACGAGACACAAGUGAACAGCAGUCAGUGCGGCUUCUCCCCCUUCACGGGCUUUGAAGAGGCUCUGCGGCGAGGUCGGGACUCACGGAAGCCUGCGCAGCGGGUGGGUCUGGGUGUGCUGGCCACAGUGGGUCUGGGCGUAGGUGCUAAAGUCUGCAUUUAAAAGCCCGUUCUCGGGGAGGCCCCAGGACCACAGCGUGGGCCAGCACAGUGGGUGCAUCUCGGGAAGGGAGGCUCAGAGCACCAGCUGUUCGGGUGGUAGGGAGUCAUCCCUCAUCCUUCUCUGAGCACUUGAGGCAGGACACCCUGCUGUGACAGCACUUUGUCCCCUGGGGCCGUGCAGGCCUCGGGUACAACGCCCCCUGUGUCCCUUAAACGCUUGGGAGUUUGCCUCCAGCAACAAGAGGUCCUGAGCCUGUGAACGCUGUGUCCGGAGCCAGGCUCCUCCUGUCUCCCGCUGCCUCCUGCCUUCGUUUGUGGCCUCGUCUUCACGGUGGCAGAAGGGCUGCUGCACCUCCAGCCAGCAAGAUGAGGGUGGCCAAGCCCACCCUGGGGAGGAUUCCCGUUUAGCUGGGUGGGGAGGCAGACUCCCUCCGGGGUCUUUCUGACAGGAAUGCUCUGGCAGGAAUGCUCAGCUGCAGGAGAGGCUGGGGCAAUGAGACCUUGACCAACAAAAUUCUGGCUGUUUCGGAAGGGCAGGUGGGGGAUAGCUCUGUGUGCGUGUUGAGCAGGGCCUGCACUGCACGGCGCCAGCGUGAAGCGGGAGCCGCGGGUGAGACUUCCUGGGCAGGAUGGGAGGCCUGGGGGCGUGCGGGAUGCUUCCCCUGUGUUUUGGUAAAGGCACUAACUGAUCCUCCCGCACGCUUGGGGAUAAUCGUGGCUAAACUGUAAAUAUGUGAAUAUCUUAGAUUGGGUUGGGCUUUUUUAAUUUGUGGGAAUUUUAUUUUAUUUUGUUUUAUGUUUUUAAUGGUUGCACAUUGGCUUUUUCUAAGUAUACUUUUUUCUAUUUUUUAAAUCUAUUUUUACUUAUUUGUUUAUUUAGCCGUUGUGUCUUCAUUGCUGCGCACGGGCUUUCUCUAGUUGUGGCGAGCAGGGGCUCCUCUUACUUGCAGUGCGCGGGCUCCUCAUGGCAGUGGCUUCUCUUGUUACGGAGCACGGGCUCUAGGCGUGCGGGCUUCAGUAGUUGUGGCACACGGGCUUGGUUGCUUCGCAGCAUGUAGGGUCUUCCUGGACCAGGGAUCGAACCUGUGUCCCCUGCGUUAGCAGGCAGAUUCUUAACCACUGUGUCACCAGCCAAGUCCAGUUGGUGGGAAUUGUAAAAUCUCUUCGUUUAGAGUUGAAAGUAGCCACGCUACCUUACGGGGUUACAAGGUACCAUGAUCUAGUGAGACGAACCGGCUGAGAUCAGGUGCUGGUUCUGCCGCCAAGUACGUGUGUGGCCCUACAGUGACUCAGCUCUUCGGCCUUGAUGUUGUUAUUUUUACUUGGGCAGCGGCUCUGUUUGCCCUUUCCAGUCUCACUGCUUCAUGGUCGUUAAGUGUCUUCCUAACUCCAAAGGCUCCCUUUCCAGCCCUGCACCCUCGGCCUGCAGUGGUGACAGCAGUGUGGAGAGCUGUCCCGUGGCCAUCAGCGCAGCAGGACUCACGACACCAUCCUGAGUCCUCAGUGUAGAGGCUUGAACCCUGUCACAUGCCUGCGGGGCUGGGGACGGGAGUUCCUCCUAGAAAUCCUCGUUCACCUGCACUGGGCUUCCUGUCUGGAGGCCCGGCGACUGGGGAAGGCUCUAAAGAGACCCGUCUGUCCCCUCGCUUACCCGGCACAGGGGGAGCUGCGCAGUCUCCUCUCCUUGUAUCAGCUCUUUUGAAACAGGUCGUGGGAAGCGGCCCGCAUCCGCCCCCAGCGGCGUCUCUGCCUGGGCGGCUCCCAGCCCGAGGAGCCCGGCCUGGAGCUUCUGCACUAGAGCUGCAGGGACUGCGAGCGUGAGCCCCGUCUGGCCUCCAGGCUGGGGAAUUGGGCAAAGCCGACGGCCUUGGUGUGCCGUGGUCCCCUUUCCAGGCAAACAGAGACUCCUGUAGCAGAGGAACUCCAGGAGUGUAUGAGACCUGGCCUCCCCAUGGAAGUCGGAGCCGGGGACCUGGAUGGCUUCCAGGCCGACACGGAGGAGGAGGAGGAGGAGGAAGGCGACUGUGUGAUCAUGGACAUCUCUGACGUUGGGGACAUCCAGGCCCCGUGUGGAACCACUU
Hippopotamus amphibius kiboko is the source of this 5251-nucleotide RNA transcript. It is a transcript of the gene named chromatin assembly factor 1 subunit A, with no coding region annotated. The record is from RefSeq and is a predicted model, not a curated record. Lineage: Eukaryota; Metazoa; Chordata; Mammalia; Artiodactyla; Hippopotamidae. The transcript has 16 exons.